Molecule: ribosomal RNA, 377 nt
Filed under: uncultured Deferribacteres bacterium
Lineage: Bacteria; Pseudomonadati; Deferribacterota; Deferribacteres
Description: bacterial SSU rRNA
Rfam family: Bacterial small subunit ribosomal RNA
Source: RNAcentral
UAAUACGGGGGGAGCAAGCGUUGUCCGGAUUUACUGGGCGUAAAGAGCGUGUAGGCGGGGUAGUAAGUCGGCGGUGAAAUCUCUCGGCUUAACCGAGAAUCUGCCACCGAUACUGUUACCCUUGAGUACGGAAGAGGGAAGUGGAAUUCCUGGUGUAGCGGUGAAAUGCGUAGAUAUCAGGAAGAACACCAGUAGCGAAGGCGGCUUCCUGGUCCGUAACUGACGCUGAGACGCGAAAGCGUGGGGAGCAAACAGGAUUAGAUACCCUGGUAGUCCACGCCGUAAACGAUGGGCACUAGGUGUUGGAGGUUUCGACCCCUUCAGUGCCGUAGCUAACGCAUUAAGUGCCCCGCCUGGGGAGUACGGUCGCAAGACUG